AGCGAACGCUGGCGGCAGGCCUAACACAUGCAAGUCGAGCGCCCCGCAAGGGGAGCGGCAGACGGGAGAGUAACACGUGGGAACGUACCCUUUGGUUCGGAACAACCCAGGGAAACUUGGGCUAAUACCGGAUAAGCCCUUACGGGGAAAGAUUCAUCGCCGAAGGAUCGGCCCGCGUCUGAUUAGCUAGUUGGUGGGGUAACGGCCCACCAAGGCGACGAUCAGUAGCUGGUCUGAGAGGAUGAUCAGCCUCACUGGGACUGAGACACGGCCCAGACUCCUACGGGAGGCAGCAGUGGGGAAUAUUGGACAAUGGGCGCAAGCCUGAUCCAGCCAUGCCGCGUGGGUGAUGAAGGCCCUAGGGUUGUAAAGCCCUUUCGGCGGGGAAGAUAAUGACGGUACCCGCAGAAGAAGCCCCGGCUAACUUCGUGCCAGCCGCCGCCGUAA
Molecule: ribosomal RNA, 447 nt
Filed under: uncultured bacterium
Lineage: Bacteria
Description: partial 16S ribosomal RNA
Rfam family: Bacterial small subunit ribosomal RNA
Source: RNAcentral